UACGGGGGGGGCAAGCGUUGUUCGGAAUUACUGGGCGUAAAGGGCCGGUAGGCGGCCAACUAAGUCGGAUGUGAAAUCCCCAGGCUUAACCUGGGAACUGCAUCCGAUACUGGAUGGCUUGAAUUCGGGAGAGGGAUGCAGAAUUCCAGGUGUAGCGGUGAAAUGCGUAGAUAUCUGGAGGAAUACCGGUGGCGAAGGCGGCAUCCUGGACCGACAUUGACGCUGAACGGCGAAAGCUAGGGGAGCAAACGGG
Molecule: ribosomal RNA, 253 nt
Filed under: uncultured bacterium
Lineage: Bacteria
Description: partial 16S ribosomal RNA
Rfam family: Bacterial small subunit ribosomal RNA
Source: RNAcentral